Molecule: transfer RNA, 94 nt
Filed under: Botrimarina colliarenosi
Lineage: Bacteria; Pseudomonadati; Planctomycetota; Planctomycetia; Pirellulales; Lacipirellulaceae
Description: Planctomycetes bacterium Pla108 tRNA-Thr
Source: RNAcentral
GACCGAUGGCGUGACCGAUUCGAUCUCGGUCCAGGUGGCGCCGGCGUUGUCCGAGCGGAAGACGCCGUUGUGGUGCUGGAUCCACAGCCGGUCG